This 561-nucleotide long non-coding RNA is filed under the name Mytilus galloprovincialis (Mediterranean mussel). Lineage: Eukaryota; Metazoa; Mollusca; Bivalvia; Mytilida; Mytilidae. The record is from RNAcentral.
UUGGGUUGCUGCCCUGGAAUUAAUAAUUUACAGAAAUUUUUUGCAGCUUUUGUUAUUAUCUUGAAUACUUUUUUAUAGAUAGAGAUAAACUGUAAACAGCAAUAAUGUACAGCAAAGUAAGACCUACAAAUAAGUCAACAUGAUCAAAAUUGUCAUUUAACCUAUUAGGAGUUAUUGCCCUUUAUAGUCAAUUAACUUUAAACAAUUUUCAUAAAUUUUGUAAAUUUUGUUAUUUUUUAUUCGUUUAUGAUAUGCACAUAUCCCAAGGUGAGCUCUUUAGAGCCUCUAGUUUUUAUAUAUCAUUGUUUGUAUUGUAUUAUGAAAAUUAUUGAUGUUGUAAUGUUUAUGUCCUUUGGGGCCCACAAUUGGAAAUAAAAUAUCUUCUUCUUCUUCUUUUUCUUAUUCUUUUUCUUCUAGUUCUUUACCAAUACAAUUACGCUAUAUAUAUGUUACAGGCAUUUACUAAAUUUAGGCAUUUUAUAAAAUUUUCAGGCAAUUUAGAAAAUGCCUAAACUUGAUAGGCAUUAUACAAAAUGACUAAAAAUAGCUAGUCAUUUUGUA